This 66-nucleotide transfer RNA is filed under the name uncultured Aquiluna sp. It matches the Rfam family "tRNA". Rfam says of the family: Transfer RNA (tRNA) molecules are approximately 80 nucleotides in length. Their secondary structure includes four short double-helical elements and three loops (D, anti-codon, and T loops). Lineage: Bacteria; Bacillati; Actinomycetota; Actinomycetes; Micrococcales; Microbacteriaceae. The record is from RNAcentral.
GAGUGUAGCUCAAUGGUAGAGCCUCAGUUUUCCAAACUGAUGACGCGGGUUCGAUUCCCGUCACUC